UGCCUCGUAGUGUAACGGCUGCACAUCUGGUUUUGGCCCAGAGAGUUUAGGUUCAAAUCCUGACGAGGCAGCCA
This 74-nucleotide transfer RNA is filed under the name Candidatus Babelota bacterium. Its description in RNAcentral is "Candidatus Dependentiae bacterium tRNA-Gln". It matches the Rfam family "tRNA". Rfam says of the family: Transfer RNA (tRNA) molecules are approximately 80 nucleotides in length. The record is from RNAcentral.